GAUAUUGAGAGAUGUGAGGGUUGCAACAUCUCUCAUCCCACUGAUCACCAAGGUGGAUUUGGCUGAUCUGGCUGGCUAGGCAGGAGUCCCCCCUCCUCCCUCAAUUCUCCAUGUGUGUCCCUCCCUAAGCUUCAACUUGCUCGGUGGAAGAGGACACCUCCCGACUCCCAUAGAGGAGGAGCAGUUCUUUGGACAAGGGUAGAGGUGUAGUUUUGUUCCCCUGCUAGAAUCUCUAACAAGCUCUCAAAAGAUACUGAGAGCCUACAUCUUCCUUAACAUUCUUAAGUGUCCACAUAUACUUGGGUCUAUUUCAGACAGGUUCUUUUACU
Molecule: unclassified non-coding RNA, 329 nt
Organism: Cavia porcellus (domestic guinea pig)
Lineage: Eukaryota; Metazoa; Chordata; Mammalia; Rodentia; Caviidae
Gene: 7SK
Rfam family: 7SK RNA
About the family: 7SK was discovered as an abundant small nuclear RNA in the mid-70s but a possible function has only recently been suggested. Two independent studies have found that 7SK RNA binds the CDK9/cyclin T complex (known as elongation factor P-TEFb).
Source: Ensembl